AGAAAUCCCCUAUAGGGAGGGUGAGAACCCUCGCCAGGUUCGACAAAACGGCAACGCCGUUUUGCAUGGCCGUCAGGCCACCCGCAGGGCAAGGCGCGCAGCGCCGCAGUGAAUCCCUCCCUCACCGCUG
Molecule: small RNA, 130 nt
Filed under: Lonsdalea britannica
Lineage: Bacteria; Pseudomonadati; Pseudomonadota; Gammaproteobacteria; Enterobacterales; Pectobacteriaceae
Description: RtT sRNA
Rfam family: RtT RNA
About the family: This family represents a bacterial cis-regulatory element known as RtT RNA.
Source: RNAcentral